UCAAAGGUGUCUUUAGACACCCCCUUUGUAUUCAAAAUUUUAUUCU
Non-coding RNA from Picea glauca (white spruce), 46 nucleotides. NCBI's taxonomy places the organism in Eukaryota, Viridiplantae, Streptophyta, Pinopsida, Pinales, Pinaceae. The record is from Rfam.